Molecule: ribosomal RNA, 228 nt
Filed under: uncultured bacterium
Lineage: Bacteria
Description: partial 16S ribosomal RNA
Rfam family: Bacterial small subunit ribosomal RNA
Source: RNAcentral
UCCGUAGGCGGAUAAUUAAGUCAGAGGUGAAAUCCUGCAGCUCAACUGUAGAAUUGCCUUUGAUACUGGUUAUCUUGAGUCAUUAUGAAGUGGUUAGAAUGUGUAGUGUAGCGGUGAAAUGCAUAGAUAUUACACAGAAUACCGAUUGCGAAGGCAGAUCACUAAUAAUGUACUGACACUGAUGGACGAAAGCGUGGGGAGCGAACAGGAUUAGAUACCCUGGUAGUC